This 492-nucleotide ribosomal RNA is filed under the name Barrenia taeda. RNAcentral's name for it is "eukaryotic LSU rRNA". It matches the Rfam family "Eukaryotic large subunit ribosomal RNA", at positions 421 to 937 of the family's 3401-position model. The record is from RNAcentral. Lineage: Eukaryota; Fungi; Ascomycota; Leotiomycetes; Helotiales; Mollisiaceae.
GCUUGCAACCAGACUUGCAGGCGGUCGAUCAUCCGAGGUUCUCCCCGGUGCACUCGAUCGUCUUCAGGCCAGCAUCGGUUUCGGUGGCGGGAUAAAGGCUCUAGGAAUGUGGCUCUUCGGAGUGUUAUAGCCUAGGGUGCAAUGCCGCCUACCGGGACCGAGGACCGCGCUUCGGCUAGGAUGCUGGCGUAAUGGUUGUAAGCGGCCCGUCUUGAAACACGGACCAAGGAGUCUAACAUCUAUGCGAGUGUUUGGGUGUCAAACCCAUACGCGUAAUGAAAGUGAACGGAGGUGAGAGCCCUUUAGGGCGCAUCAUCGACCGAUCCUGAUGUCUUCGGAUGGAUUUGAGUAAGAGCAUAGCUGUUGGGACCCGAAAGAUGGUGAACUAUGCGUGAAUAGGGUGAAGCCAGAGGAAACUCUGGUGGAGGCUCGCAGCGGUUCUGACGUGCAAAUCGAUCGUCAAAUUUGCGUAUAGGGGCGAAAGACUAAUCG